CCUACGGGGAGCAGCAGUGAGGAAUAUUGGUCAAUGGACGAGAGUCUGAACCAGCCAAGUAGCGUGAAGGAUGACUGCCCUAUGGGUUGUAAACUUCUUUUAUAUGGGAAUAAAAUGUUCCACGUGUGGGAUUUUGUAUGUACCAUAUGAAUAAGGAUCGGCUAACUCCGUGCCAGCAGCCGCGGUAAUACGGAGGAUCUGAGCGUUAUCCGGAUUUAUUGGGUUUAAAGGGAGCGUAGGUGGAUUGUUAAGUCAGUUGUGAAAGUUUGCGGCUCAACCGUAAAAUUGCAGUUGAAACUGGCAGUCUUGAGUACAGUAGAGGUGGGCGGAAUUCGUGGUGUAGCGGUGAAAUGCUUAGAUAUCACGAAGAACUCCGAUUGCGAAGGCAGUUCACUGGACUGCAACUGACACUGAGGCUCGAAAGUGUGGGUAUCAAACAGGAUUAGAUACCCGUGUAGUC
This 460-nucleotide ribosomal RNA is filed under the name uncultured bacterium. RNAcentral describes it as "partial 16S ribosomal RNA". It matches the Rfam family "Bacterial small subunit ribosomal RNA", at positions 338 to 795 of the family's 1533-position model. The record is from RNAcentral.